Molecule: transfer RNA, 81 nt
Filed under: Apiotrichum porosum
Lineage: Eukaryota; Fungi; Basidiomycota; Tremellomycetes; Trichosporonales; Trichosporonaceae
Description: Trichosporon porosum tRNA
Rfam family: tRNA
About the family: Transfer RNA (tRNA) molecules are approximately 80 nucleotides in length. Their secondary structure includes four short double-helical elements and three loops (D, anti-codon, and T loops).
Source: Rfam by way of RNAcentral
GGUCGCGUGGCCAAAUGGUACGGCGUCUGACUACGACUGAGUAUCAUCAGGAGAUCGCGGGUUCGAUCCCCGUCGUGACCU